CUUGGUCAUUUAGAGGAAGUAAAAGUCGUAACAAGGUCUCCGUUGGUGAACCAGCGGAGGGAUCAUUAUAGAGUUAUCCAACUCCAAACCCAUGUGAACUUACCAGUGUUGCCUCGGCGGGUUCCAGCGCUUUCCGGAGCUGCUGGGCUCACGGCCCGCCGGUGGUUUUUUACAAACUCUUGUAUUAAUUUGCAAUCUGAGCGUUACUUUUAAAUAAGUCAAAACUUUCAACAACGGAUCUCUUGGUUCUGGCAUCGAUGAAGAACGCAGCGAAAUGCGAUAAGUAAUGUGAAUUGCAGAAUUCAGUGAAUCAUCGAAUCUUUGAACGCACAUUGCGCCCAUUAGUAUUCUAGUGGGCAUGCCUAUUCGAGCGUCAUUUCAACCCUUAAGCCUAGCCUAGUGUUGGGAAUUUACGGUUCAGUAAUUCCCUAAAGUCAGUGGCAGAGCUAGUUCAUCUCUCAGCGUAGUAAUUUUUAUCUCGCUUUUGCAGAAGGUCUAGUCCUCGCCAUAAGCCUUAUAUUUUUCUAGUGGUUGACCUCGGAUUAGGUAGGAAUACCCGCUGAACUUAAGCAUAUCAAUAAGCG
This 584-nucleotide ribosomal RNA is filed under the name uncultured fungus. Its description in RNAcentral is "eukaryotic LSU rRNA". The stretch from base 223 to 376 matches the Rfam family "5.8S ribosomal RNA". The record is from RNAcentral. Lineage: Eukaryota; Fungi.